RNAcentral lists this ribosomal RNA (253 nucleotides) under uncultured bacterium. RNAcentral's name for it is "partial 16S ribosomal RNA". It matches the Rfam family "Bacterial small subunit ribosomal RNA", at positions 524 to 776 of the family's 1533-position model. The record is from RNAcentral.
UACGUAGGGGGCUAGCGUUGUCCGGAAUCAUUGGGCGUAAAGAGCGCGUAGGCGGCUCGGUAAGUCCGCUGUGAAAGUCCAGGGCUCAACCCUGGAAUGCCAGUGGAAACUGUCGAGCUAGAGUCCGGAAGAGGCGAGUGGAAUUCCUGGUGUAGCGGUGAAAUGCGCAGAUAUCAGGAGGAACACCAAUGGCGAAGGCAGCUCGCUGGGACGGUACUGACGCUGAGACGCGGAAGCGUGGGGAGCAAACAGG